GAUGAACGCUGGCGGCGUGCCUAAUACAUGCAAGUCGAGCGAACGGACGAGAAGCUUGCUUCUCUGAUGUUAGCGGCGGACGGGUGAGUAACACGUGGAUAACCUACCUAUAAGACUGGGAUAACUUCGGGAAACCGGAGCUAACACCGGAUAAUAUUUUGAACCGCAUGGUUCAAAAGUGAAAGACGGUCUUGCUGUCACUUAUAGAUGGAUCCGCGCUGCAUUAGCUAGUUGGUAAGGUAACGGCUUACCAAGGCAACGAUGCAUAGCUGACCUGAGAGGGUGAUCGGCCACACUGGAACUGAGACACGGUCCAGACUCCUACGGGAGGCAGCAGUAGGGAAUCUUCCGCAAAGGGCGAAAGCCUGACGGAGCAACGCCGCGUGAGUGAUGAAGGUCUUCGGAUCGUAAAACUCUGUUAGUAGGGAAGAACAUAUGUGUAAGUAUCUGUGCACAUCUUGACGGUACCUAAUCAGAAAGCCACGGCUAACUACGUG
This 497-nucleotide ribosomal RNA is filed under the name uncultured bacterium. RNAcentral describes it as "partial 16S ribosomal RNA". It matches the Rfam family "Bacterial small subunit ribosomal RNA", at positions 28 to 507 of the family's 1533-position model. The record is from RNAcentral.